RNAcentral lists this ribosomal RNA (253 nucleotides) under uncultured bacterium. RNAcentral's name for it is "partial 16S ribosomal RNA". It matches the Rfam family "Bacterial small subunit ribosomal RNA", at positions 524 to 776 of the family's 1533-position model. The record is from RNAcentral.
UACGUAGGUGGCAAGCGUUGUCCGGAUUUAUUGGGUUUAAAGGGUGCGUAGGUGGCCCUGUAAGUCAGUGGUGAAAUAUCUCAGCUUAACUGAGAGGGUGCCAUUGAUACUGCAGGGCUUGAGUACAGAUGAGGUAGGCGGAAUUGACGGUGUAGCGGUGAAAUGCGUAGAUAUCUGGAGGAACACCGGUGGCGAAGGCGGCAUCCUGGACCGGUAUUGACGCUGAGGAGCGAAAGCCAGGGGAGCAAACGGG